ACGUACACUCCUGCGGGAGGCAGCAGUGGGGAAUAUUGCACAAUGGGCGCAAGCCUGAUGCAGCCAUGCCGCGUGUGUGAAGAAGGCCUUCGGGUUGUAAAGCACUUUCAGCGGGGAGGAAGGCGAUACGGUUAAUAACCGUGUUGAUUGACGUUACCCGCAGAAGAAGCACCGGCUAACCCCGUGCCAGCAGCCGCGGUAAUACGGAGGGUGCAAGCGUUAAUCGGAAUUACUGGGCGUAAAGCGCACGCAGGCGGUCUGUCAAGUCGGAUGUGAAAUCCCCGGGCUCAACCUGGGAACUGCAUUCGAAACUGGCAGGCUUGAGUCUUGUAGAGGGGGGUAGAAUUCCAGGUGUAGCGGUGAAAUGCGUAGAGAUCUGGAGGAAUACCGGUGGCGAAGGCGGCCCCCUGGACAAAGACUGACGCUCAGGUGCGAAAGCGUGGGGAGCAAACAGGAUUAGAUACCCCAGUAGUCCCAUGA
RNAcentral lists this ribosomal RNA (480 nucleotides) under uncultured organism. Its description in RNAcentral is "partial 16S ribosomal RNA". It matches the Rfam family "Bacterial small subunit ribosomal RNA", at positions 329 to 800 of the family's 1533-position model. The record is from RNAcentral.